Long non-coding RNA from Lacerta agilis (Sand lizard), 344 nucleotides. RefSeq lists it as uncharacterized. The record is from RefSeq and is a predicted model, not a curated record. The transcript is spliced from 3 exons. NCBI's taxonomy places the organism in Eukaryota, Metazoa, Chordata, Lepidosauria, Squamata, Lacertidae.
AAUUUGUAUUACUGAACCCUUUGGGCUUCUUCUUCUUCAGCAGUCUCAAGAUCAGCACACAAGCAUCCGCCUCUUAAAUGGAUCACAUUCUCUUCAAAAUACAAAGUCUGAAGACAGGUGUUGCUUUUUUCAUUACUUGUUGAAAUUCUACCUGGUGAAUGUCUUCAAUCAAUGCACGGAAGGAAGCAACUUUCAUCAAAGGAGAGUCAGCAGGAUUGCCAACAACUUCCUCAGUAUUAAGAAGGAACUGACACUCUGUGAUACUGUCACAACAUGCUCCUGUGGGAAAGAAGCCAAUCAAAGAUAUGAACAAAUUCUGAAUCAGUUUCAGAGGGUAAAUGUGU